RNAcentral lists this long non-coding RNA (14546 nucleotides) under Homo sapiens (human). RNAcentral describes it as "non-protein coding lnc-ATP6V1E2-2:3". Lineage: Eukaryota; Metazoa; Chordata; Mammalia; Primates; Hominidae. The record is from RNAcentral.
GUUUAUGAGGUCGUCUGGGCGGCGGGUAGCGGGGUGGGACUCCGCGUCGGGGAGAGGCAGCCUGCGCAGGGCCGAGGGGCGGCCGGGAGCCGGGCUCCGGGAUUGCUGCGGGGGACGGCAGUUGCGCCACAGCGUCGGUGUCCUCGUACCGGCGCCGUGCCCUUGGAACGAGGGCAGGACCGCGGGCAGCGCCGGGCCAGCGCGGAGCCCCUCCACGCUGCUGCGCUCCUGCGUCCCUGGCCCUCGGGCCAGGUGGGGAUAAUUUCUCGGCCCCCAGCGGCUGCGUUUCGGGCGUGGGCGAUGCGCCCUUUUCGGUGGGACGCAGCUGACUUGACCGUCUGGGAGAAGCAGUGCAAGGAAAUUGAUCUAGGGCUGCGCCUACUCUUCCUUCCCUCUCCCAGCAGGGUGGUUGCUUACCGGCUUGUGCCAGGCGGUUUGGUUUUGGCGGGGAUGCGGCAGAGGAGGCCCUUUGAGCCGCCCGAGGCCGGGGCGAGUUCAGAAUUGGAGAAGUCAGUCUGGUUCCCCAGUGUGAUCUUGGAGUGACAAGAGUUGGCCAUGUGCCCUCAAGUCACUGCAUCUCAGGCCUGCCCUCUCUGCCGCCAGGGUCGAUGGAAGUCCUGGGAAACCCAAAGGCUACAGGUGUUGGAAAUUUGUAGAUUUAAGGGCUCACACAGGCAACGGUUAGCGCUCAGGGAUUUUCCAGCGGCGCUUUUGACGCUGCCUUCCAUCUCCGGGCCCAGUGCUCCCCUGCCCCGCGCUGAGCUGUCUCCCACUCGCUACCGGCGAUGGGGAAGGGACAUCUGGGGAGAGGACAGGGGACGCCCUUAGUUUUUGAAGGCUGUGGAAGGACCCAUGAGUUUCACAGGUGUAACUUGAAGUUGGAAAGCGAGGGCCAAAGAACUGGUCUAUAUCUCUCCCUUUAGCCUCUUGCCACAUUUUAUACUAGAACGAUCUACAGAAGCGAUUUGAAGAGAAGGGUAGGUUUCAGCGCCAUAAUAAAAAUGAACACGUGUUUUCCCCGUGUACACAGAAAGGGUUGGGGGAGAUACUUUUCAGGAGCCUGGAGAAGGCGAAGUGGGGAGAGGGCAAAAACUGACGAAGAAUUGGGAAAUACUUUUUUUUUUUUUUUGAGACUGAGUCCCACUCUGUCGCCCAGGCUGGAGUGCUGUGGCCCCAUCUCGACUCACUGCAACCUCCGCUUCCCGCGAUUCUUGUGGCUCAGCCUCCGGAGUAACUGGAAUUAAAGGCGCCCACCACCACCCUCAGCUAAUUUUUGUAUUUUUAGUAGAGACGGGAGUUUUACCAUGUUGGCCAGGCUGGUCUCAAACUCCUGACCUCAAGUGAUCUGCCCAACUUGGCCUCUCAAAGUAUUGGGAUUACAGGCGUGAGUCACUGUGCCCGGCCGGGAAGUAGACGUAUUUUGUCAUUUUCUCAGAUCUCGGGGCACGGAGCACCUAUACAGGUUGAUAGUCAACGAAUUCAAAGAUUGCAAAUCUCUCUCUAGCGAACUAUUUCAUGGGGCUGGUGGGUUUCAGGAACGGGGUGAUUUGGUACUGGGCUUCUCCAGCCAGCCAUUUCUAGUGGACACAUUUAUGUAUUUUAAUGAGUUCAAAUUGGUAGAUAGUUCUCCCUUAACCAUAGGCUUAUUUCCCUCACUUGGGACUAGAGUGCGGGAAAAGGGCACCUUGGUGGCUUCCAGGUGCCUACAGUAGUUCACCACAACAGCCUCUGAGUCCUGGACUGUGCUUGACAGAUCGAGGCAACACCUCCAACCCAUAGAGAACAUAGCCUUUUAGAUCUUGUUUUUAAAGAGGAAAGGCAAGGAGGGGUCACUCAAGACCACAUCAACCUAAGAAGACAUGGACACAUGGGAGGAACAGCACAGACUGGGGCGUGUCAGAGGGUGAGGGGUGGGAGGAGGGAGAGCAUCAGGAACAAUAGCUAACGGAUGCUGGGCUUAAUACCUAGGUGAUGGGAUGAUCUGUGCAGUGGACCACCAUGGUACACAUUUACCUAUGUAACAAACCUGCACAUCCUGCACAUGUACCCCUGAGCUUAAAUGUUAGAAAUUCCAUCAACCAUGUUAUAUAGCUCCUUCCUCUUGGCCAGACUGCACCCUAUAAGUGAAGGAUCCCCAGGCUAACACAAACAGCUGGCAUUGAGUCUGGGAUUUUUUUUUUUUCUUUAGACAAUCUCACUCUGUUGCGCAGGUUGGAGCGGAGUGGCACGAUCUUGGCGCACUGCAACCUCCACGUCCCGGGUUCAAGCUAUUCCCCUGCCUCAGCCUCCCAAGUAGCUAGGACUACAGAUGUGCACCACCAUGCCCGGCUAAUUUUUGUAUUUUUAGUAGAGAUGGAGUUUUGCCAUGUUGGCCAGGCUGGUCUGGAACUCCUGGCCUCAUGUGAUCCACCCACCUGGGCUUCCCAGAGUGCUGGGAUUAUACGCAUAAGCCACCGCACCUUGCCAAGUCCGGGAUUUUGGCAGUGUCUGAGAUACACCAAAAACUCAUUAUAAUAACUCUCAAAAGGGUUGCACCCAGCCUUGCUUAGAGCAGAGCCGGGUGGCCUGAGAUUUCUUCCAGGACUCAGCUCAAUAACCUUUGCAGGAAGGAGCUGAGAGUGUAAACCAGAUGCAGGCUGUGGCUAGGGUGCAUCCAAUUUUACUUUUUAGAGCCUGUGGAGAACUAGAGGAGAAAAACUUUGAAAGGUGAUGCUGGGGCAGUGAGUGGGGGAUGGGGAGCUGGGUCCCCGGAUUCAGAGGGGUGUCUUUAGAGACACUGAUGUUGUGGCCACAGAGGGCAGCAGAGGACACCGGUAGGCAAAGCUCCCAAGCUGCUUAAAAUAGGAGCAAACUGCCCACCUCCCAGCAAAUCUCCCUACCUGCCCCCCAACCCUGUAUUGGAUGGUUUGGGAACAAAAGCUGUGGCACCAGUGAAACACCUAUUUGUUUUGACAAGGGACAAAUCUGAUUCUCUUGCUUCCUCUUUUCUUUGUAGGGUGUGCCCUCAGGAGGAUGGGAUAGAGAUAAAGUGUGAACUUACAAACCUGGCAGAGAGCAGGCACCUGGGAUGCAGUGGGCUGGUGGAAGAAAGAUGGCCUCAGUACUCCCAUCGAAGUAACAGUAUGUUCCAGGAUGCAGUUGGAAAUUAGGUUGGAAUGGAUGGGAUCUAACAGGAACAGCUCUUGGAAGGAUGGGCUAUCUCAUUAGUACCUUACAACUUCCAAUGCAUUGUCACAUAUUGGAGUUGGGACCAGGGUGAGGCAAAAGAGGCCUUUAAGAGUCAUGCAAGUACACUGGCCUCUGUCCUGCCACAUGCCUUAUCUCACGUAAUACCCAUCUGACCCUUGUCUGGCUAUUUAGUUGGUUUCGGGGUGGAGAGAGCAGGGGAGGUAAGGAGCAGAGAUGGGAGAGAGGACAAGCUGGCAGAGACUCUUUCUCUAUGAAAAGCCUUGCCUGAGUCACUCCUUCCCUCACACUUGCAUGUUACUCCAUCCAAACGAAACCAGCCCCUUUUGUGACUUCACAAAAUCUAUACUCACACUCCCUGUCACUGAACUCCAGGUCCAGAAAACUAUGCCCCCUGUGUUUGGCUUUAGGCCAAUGUCGUGAGAUAUUCCACACAGACAUGUGCUGUAUCUUCUUUUAAAUGUUGUGACUUUUGACCCCACAAAUCUAGAAUUUGUCAUCUUUCAAAAAGAGUUCUGUGAUUUCUUUUUUUUUUUUUUUUUUUUUUUGAGGCAAGAGUCAAACUUUUUUUCCUCCUUGAAUUCCUAAGUGCUUGCUGGUAAGAAGGAUGCAGUUUUAAAGAACCCCAGCUUCUCCAUUCCUCACACCUGUAUACUGAUGACUUGGAGACUAACAUCUUCCAUUGCUAGGCUUAGGAAUGAAGUUUUGCCUCUGAAGGGAGUUGUGCAUUUGUAACUGUCAUUCAACCAAUGGUGAAAGAGUCACUGGUCCAGGGCCAAUGUGCUCUGCUGCCUCCGGGAAAGCAUAAGACAUCAGUCUGUGGAAGAGGGCACUGGUGGUUUCCUUCCCUCCAAGAGGACAUAGUUCAGUUGGGUACAUACUGCAUUUCCCAGAUUUUGAAUACACACGUUUUAAGGCUUCCAAAAUCAGGUAUCUUUUGACAUGGUAAUUCCUUUUCCUCCCCCAAUUUUUAAUUUGGUAAAUAUGUACAAUUUAUAUGCUCUUAACAUUUUUAAAUUUGAAAAUCGAGAGCAAAAUCUUAUAGCCUAAACAACAGGAGUGGUAAGAAUUUGGUGGUGGUGAACAACCAGAAAAUCUGGAGUCCCAGCCAUGUCCACUGCUAGGACCCAGAGAAGCCUAGCCUGGACUGGCCCAGCUGCCGGGCUGAUGAGUGUGACCUCUGAGGUGAUAAAAUAACACCCAUGUGGGAGGAAUGGCCAAUAAGAAGGACAUGCCAGCCCCACCUUAGAAAAAGGCAUGAGUAGAAAUGAAGGUGCUAUAUCACUAAAAAUGAUGACAUUGGGCCCCAAGCAUCCGAUUUUCUCUGGCACCUGGCUAAGACAGGCAUAGAGGACAGGGCCGGUUGGGGUGUAGUCAGAGACACCCUCCCUAUUCUGUGGCAUUGCUUUGGCCUGUAGCAAAGUGUUAAAAUGGGACUCUUCCUACUUCAGUUUCAACUGAGUUCCCAAGACAAUCAAUGCCAGCUACUCCCACUUCCAAAAUGCGGAACACAAGAGCUCCUUGAAAAUGAUUUUGUGUACCUUCUCCAGCCACUGUCCACCUCAAGGAAAGUGCAUGGAUUGAUACAGAAGAGGACUCAAAGUUGGAGUUCUAGGAUUGAGUUGUCAACAUUGUGAUCAGUUUUCCUCCCCAUACCAUGGAGAGAGGACAUGCCUUGCUCCUGUCUCUUAAGUCCAGUGACUAGGGCUUACCUGAGACCACACACAGAGCUUGAUAUCUGUCCCUGGAGCUUGUGGAACACAGGAGACUGCCCACUGGUGAGCAGCUGGCUGAAGAGGCCUAUUGUAGAGGACAUUUCCAUUUGGAAGUCACUCCCUCUUGCCUAUAUCAUGGCAAGGGAGUGUGUGGCAGAUUGAGUUUCCUGGAAGAUGACUCUGAGGGGGAAGAUUAGCAUGAGGAAGGUUUAUUAGAGUGCUCUUGGGAUAGCACCCAGAGGAGGAAAGGAGAAGAAGCAGGAUCAGAGAGAAGUGGACCCCCACUGCCCGGAUCUGAAGCUGGGAUGGCCCUUCAGAGUUGUCCCAAGGCAGAGUCAAGGGGCCUUUCUACCCCUGCCAUAGAUUGGUCAUUGUUCCUGGCUGACCUUGGGGAAAGGCUGUGACCUUGAGCAACAGCAUCUGGGGGAAUGUGUCCUUCAUUCCUAAGGGGAGAUCUGGGCAGGGAUCACAGGGUCCAGUAUGGCAUAUGGCAUGCAGGUACCAGAUGUGGAAACUGCAAGAAGAAUAACCACCUAGGGCCAGGCACAGUGGCUCACAUCUGUAAUCCCAGCACUUUGGGAGGCUGAGGCAGGCAGAUAACUUGAGGUCAGGAGUUCGAGACCAGCCUGGCCAACAUGGUGAAACCCUGUUUCUACUAAAAAUACAAAAAUCAGCCAGACAUGGUGGUGGGUGCCUGUAAUCCCAGCUACUCAGGAGGCUGAAGCAGGAGAAUCACUUGAACCUGGGAGGCAGAGGUUGCAGUGAGCCGAGAUCACACCACUGCACUCCAGCCUGGGCAACAGAGACUCCACCUCAAAAAAAAAAAAAAAAAAAGAAUAACCACCUAGAAUUAAAGGAAAAAAAAAUUUAGAGAUGAGGGUCUUGCUAUGUUGCCCAGGCUGGAGUGCAGUGGCUAUUCACAGGUGUGAUCAUGGCACAUUGUAGCCUUGAACUCCUGGGCUCAAGAACUUCUCCUGCUUCAGCCUCCCAAGUAGCCACUGUGCCCAGCAAUUUUUAAGGGGACUCUGUCCACAUGGGCUUCUUCAAAAAGACCUUGGCAGAAAAAGGUGGAGGCCCAACUGGAGAUAGAGGCUGAAGGAGGACCAUAAGUGACCAGCUGAAGGAGAGGCCCCUUUGGACUCUUGAAGACUGCAGUCCCAGGGGACCAAGAGGGUUCCAUACAAGGUGACAAAGGUACCAAAGAGGGAAGCACCAGCCAUGGCCAGGGAAGGUCAAAGAGAUACUUCAUCCAUGCUAGAAACAAAGGAUGGAAGGAGGAUGGAAGGAGGGAGAAAAAGAAGGAGGGAGGAAGGAAGGGAAGGAUCAAGGGAAGGAGAGAAGGAAGGAAGGAAGGAAGGCAGACAGAGAGGCAUCUCCUACUCCUUGUUUUUUAUUCUCCCUCCUACUCUACAGGGGCCAAGGUGAGGCUAGUAAGGGGAUGGGGUAGAGGUGCUAAAUGGGAAAAUGUCUUGGCGUCCUCAAUGCCUAGCAGGGAACCUGGCAUAAAAUGGACACUCAAAAAAUAAUAUACGAAGAAUGAGGAAAAUCUUUGCCCCUUUAUGAUUCCCAGUGACUGUGUAAGGGCCUUCUAUAUCUGCAUCAUUCUGGGGACUGAAUGUGGGUCCUUCCAAAGUCAUGGUGUUAUAGAACAGUGAUACAGGGGUGAUGUCUAAAGCACACACUGAAGUAUCCCCAGACGCACCUGCACAUACACACAUGUACAUGCUCAUGUACCUACCUGGUGCCAAGCUCAGAAAUAGGGUUCUACACAAACCUCACUGGAAACUUUUCAUUUCUCUUCAGUGCAUACCUCAGUCUUUGCCCUUUGAAGAAAACCAGGGAUGCAAUGCUGAGAAUGUGACUGUAAAUACUUCAGAUUUUAAACUCCGAGGAUUUUCUCUUGGUCUCCUCAGAGGGUUGUAGUCUGUGGUGUAUGGAUCCUGGGGUUUCAAGGCCAUCUGGCCCCUGUGUGCUCAAUGAUCUACCCCAGUGGAAGGAAGACGAGAAACAGACAUUUCAAAACCUUUAGGCAAUGGGUCUUGGCCUGAGACAGAGUUUCACUUUGUCGCCCAGGCUGGAGUGCAGUGGCGCAAUCUCCACUCACUGCAACCUCCGCCUCCUGGGUUCAAGUGAUUCUUGUGCCUCAGCCUCUUGAGUAGCAGGGAUUACAGGCACGCACCACCAUACCUGGCUAACUUUUUGUAUUUUUAGUAGAGGCAGGGUUUCACCAUGUUGGCCAGGCUGGUCUCGAAAUCUUGGCCUCAAGUGAUCCACCCACCUCAGCCUCCCAAAGUGCUGGGAUUACAGAUGUGAGCCGCCGCACCCAGCCAGCAUGCCCUAUCUUAAUUGUUAAUUUUCUAUGAUAGCAGAUUAGCUCUCCUAAUUACUUCUAUCUUAGGCUAGAUUAAAAUGCAUCCUGAUCAGAUAGUAAUUUAUGGUGAAGAGAUGCCUUCUGGCCUAAAAACAUGCCAGGGGUAAAUCUCUAAGUAGAUGACCUCAAGGCAGAGAACCCAGAGUGCACUGUGUAUGAAAGAAUUACGGAGUGAAGUUCAUGUGCCCAAGGUUUUAAAGAAUAAUUAAGAGCCUAAUUAUAAGAGUACUGAAAAGAGCCAUACACAAUUCCAAGUUAGCUUUGCCUGUUAAGAGUAGAAAGCUCAUUUUAUAAGUAAUAAAACGAUGGUGUUUACACAAUGCAGCUUUCCAAUUUCCUUUUCAAAUUCCACUGUGCUUGAGGCACCAUCCCCUUUGACUGCAUGCAUUCUGAUCUUUGUUGAAUUAAUUUCAUCUAGUAAUUCUUCUACUCAUUGGCAUCUAUUGACUGUCCAGUCCAUAUGCAUGGAUGUGGUUGAAACUCAGCUGAGAAAGAUGAAUGACACACGGCUCUACCCUCUAAAGCUCACUCUCUCCUAUUGGAGACAGACUUCUAAACAAAAUACUACACCUCCAAAGAGAAAACCCCAUUUUUCUGGGAGCUCAGAAUGGGAAAUGACUCUGCCUGGGGAUGGAGGUGGGAGGGAGGAGAACUUAGGGAAGGCUUCUAGAAAAGGUGACAUUUUGGCUGCAGCUUGAGGGGUGACCAGGAGUUUGCUAGUUAGAACAGGGAAGGAAGAGCAUUCUGGGUUGAGAAUUGGGACAGAGUCUUCUCUGAUAAUUCGCAAAGCAAAUGUCAGGUCAUACAGGAGCAACUCAAAAGACCUUUUGCAGAGAUUUAGUUAUUAUUGCCCAUGCUAGACUAUCAACUGCUUCUGACUUUGUGCAGUACUUAGACCACCUAAGUUAGUGCCUGAUAGGGUAUUUUGAGGAUGACAGUAAUGCCUAUGCUAGAGAUGAGUGGGAUAUGACCCUCAUCUUUUAGUCAUGACAUUCCAGCUCUCCUACCUUGGGUUUGUUCCUAAUAAUUAAGUGGCCAUCACAGCAGUAGUGAGUAUUCUUCUGCAAACUCCAGGAGCAUCUGUGGAACCGAGUGCAGAUGCCUUUGACCUGUGCAGCAGUUGACUCAGGUUACCAGGCACCUUUUUCAAGUUCUUCCCAAGAAGAUGUAUCUUUCUUGUUCAGCCUAAUUUUUAUAAAACUUUAAUGUUCUCUUAAAACUGAAAUUUUGCACAGUAGGCAUUAGCAUCAGAGCAACAUUCCCAUGAGUUCUGGAAUCUCCUGGAGUACAUUACUCUAAGCAAAGAGCCAAUUAUUGCAGCCCUGAAGUUGGAGGGGACACUGAUUAGUAUCUGUGGCCUAGAAGUACAGAUGGAUGGCUGUGGAGGCCACAGCAUCUUGAGGAUUUUUUUUUUUUUGAAACGGAGUCUCAUUCUGUCGCCCAGGCUGGAGUAUAGUGGCGUGAUCUCUGCUCAACGCAGAGGAUGUUAAAUGGAGUCAAAAGCAAAUCAGACUCCCUCAUGGCCCAACUCAGGAGUUAUUCUUAGGCAUAGGGAACAUUAGAGAGACCUCUAGAGUUGGGAAGAGUGGGCCUAGUGGGGAGUCCUUGGGCCCUGCAAGUUUCCACUCAAUUUCUCACCCUGGGCACUGCCUCCACCUGUUCUCUGUACCUAUUCCUUCUCUUCUAUUUCUCCUCUACAAUUCUUCUUUUAUUUCCCCAUUCCUCUUUCUCGUAAAUAUAUCUUUUUUUUCCCAGAAGUUUCUACUGAGUUUGAAGGUUUCAAUGACCAUGUUGAUUACAGAGAUAGGAAGGCUAUUUCCAUCACUGUCUUUGGAUGAGAGACAGCAGAGGCUCCUCUCUGCAGGCCUGGCCAGACUGCUUAUGAGGAGCUGGAGGGAAAGAUGAACGGCUUUAAGUCACUCAGGCCAGUACCCAAGAACCCAACACUGUGCUGGGCCUUGGGGUGGUUCUGGGGUAGCGUGAGGGUAAGGAAUGCUAGAGAGGUAUGGCAGAGAGAACCCGAGAGAAGGCGUUAGGACAUGCAAUGAGGUCCCAUUUCCCACUGAUUCCUAACUUUAUUUUUCUGCCAAAUUAAAGGAAACAUAUCUUCCUCAUAUGGUGGAGAAGUAACUGAGACAUAAGAUAAGAAAAGUCUAAAGCCCAAUAUAAAUAUAAGGGUUUGAACUCAUCUGACCUGGGUCUGUGUGGGCUAAGCUGCUCCAAGCUGGGCUAGACAUGGGAUAGGAAGCAGUUUAACUUGCCCUUUUCUCCUGUGGGCCUAGAAGUCCCUGGAUUAGAUGAUGCUGUGGAGCCCACUGUGGGAGAAGGGGAGGGGAGAAGAGCAUGGCUUGAAGUCUGAAUCCUGGAGCCCAGGUUCAGGUCUCCAUCAACCUGAACAACAUCUCUGAGUCCCCACUUCCUCAUCUGCAAGAUGAGAAUUCUAAUUCCACCUCACACACUUAGGGAUAGAAUCAAAUGCAAUACUAAGCCCAAAGUCACUGUAUAAAGUACAAUACAAAUGUGGUUAUUAAUAUCCUAUCAUUAAUAUCUUGGUGUUUCUUAUAGCAUAAUGGAUUUCCAAAGGGAGAGCAUUAGCAAGAUAAAAUAGCCUCAGAAGGAACCAAAGAAACUAAAUUUUGUACACUAAGGUAGUAUAAAUUCAGUACAUUUUAAAGCUUAGUUUCUAUUUAAGAUCAUUUAAAAAUCAGUUUCUAUUAAAAUUCAGAAGCAUUUCUAAGUGCUGGGAAAGACUCUCUCCCUGCUCUUUGCCAUUGCUAAAUUAGCCUGCCUCUGGAGGAGAAGGCCCUUUUCCCUUCCUGCCCCACUAGUGCAGGACUCUUUGGGUGAACUCCCUCCCCUUGCCCCUGAGCAGUUGGGUGGGAGUGUGGUAAGCCUCUGGUUAUACUUUAAAAAUAGUGUUGAGAGAGAGGCAGGCAGGCAGGGAGGCUCACCGGACAGGAAGGACAGGUUUUCCUGCCUUCCCUCCCCACCUGCCCCACACCCAGUCACUUUGUCACCCCAGGGGAGCUGUCAGCCCAGCCCCACAAAUUAGAGGGUGCUGCAUGGCCCUGGCCCCACACAGUGUUUCCAUGAGAACCUCUCCUUCCCCUGAUUUUCCCUUUUCUCCUGGGGCCUCCUCGCACGUAGAAAGAAACCCCUGCUCCUAGCCCUGUUCCUGUAUCUAGACCCUGGCAGCCUCAGUCACUCAUCCAGACAUUAGCUAGGAGCUGGCAGUGCCGAGAAUGGCUCUGGAGGGGAGGACAGGGGGCCAGGGUUGGCACCUGGGCCACUCGGGCAAGCCUGAGAUGUGGGUGCAGGCUUUGCUUGGUGCUCCCAGUGGCCCUGGCCUGGCCUCUCCUAGGAUCCAGAGGGAUCCUGGACCCUGGAAGGGUCCCAGGCCCCAGGAAGGGAAACAGUCAGACCUCUGGCUUCCCCGUGGUGGCAUCUGAACCCAUGGCAUUGCCCUCUUCCAGACAUGCCUUGGAUCCCUUGACUCUGCCUCACCCUUAACCCCUGGUCAGCUCCUUCCCAGUGGCCAGCACUACCCCUCCACUGGGCGCAGACAUGGCUGCAUCUUGCUCGAAAAUUAUUCAUAGGGAUGCAUACCUCCUGCCUGUCCUGCCAGACCCCCCACAGACCUCAAUUAAUGCAGCCCAGCUGAUUGAGCAUUUGUCUUCUGAUGGAUUGAAUGACAAACCAGCCCUAUGAGGUCUCAGCUUGUCCUCCAUCAUCUCUGGCCUGAGGAGUUACCAGGGUUUUGGGAGCUCUGGGCUUCAUGGAAAGAGAAAAAAAAGGUACAGUAAAUGCUCUGGGACUGUCCAAGCCUGAGGACCGGAGAGCACGGCGUCUCGGAAUCAGACUGACGUGGUCGGCCUCCCAGCUCUGUAAUUCAUCCUAUAGCCUUGGACAAAUCCAUUAACUUUUCUUGAUAUAAAUUUCCUUAUCUGGGGCCGGGCACGGGGGCUCACGCCUGUAAUCCCAGCACUUUGGGAGGCUGAGGCAGGCGGAUCAUGAGGUAGGGAGAUCAAGGCCAUCCUGGCUAACGUGGUGAAACCCCGUCUCUACCAAAAAUACAAAAAAAUUAGCCGGGCGUGGUGGUGGGCGCCUGUAGUCCCAGCUACUCCAGGAGGCUGAGGCAGGAGAAUGGCGUGAACCCAGGAGGCGGAGCUUGCAGUGAGCUGAGAUCGCGCCACUAUACUCCAGCCUGGGCGACAGAGUGAGACUCCAUCUCAAAAAAAAAAAAAAAAAAAAAAAAUUCCUUAUCUGUAAAAUGGGGAUGAAGUUACCCACUUCAGAGGGUGCUGUAAGGAUUAAAUGAUCUCCAAGGCCUCUACAGUGUUCAGACACACAAAUCACCUACAGCACCACUCAAAGUGUAUGUGCAGAUGGGGUCUGGCUUCUUGCAUUUUGUUGUUGUUGUUUAGUUGAUUGUUUUCUGCAUUGUGCAUGUGUGUGGUUAAACAAAAUGCCCUAUCACUGAGAUCUGGCCUGCAGGGCCAGGGCUGGACACAGAUAACACUGCUGGAGGAACACUAAAACCUUUCUUGAUGUGCCACAGGCUUUUAUUUCUCUUAUUUCUCACUAAGGACAGGAAAGCUUUCAUCAGCAACAUCAACAACAACACAACAAACACGUGGACACCUCCCCAGGGGUUUCUGUUGAUCCUGAAUCCUCCCACCCACCCACCCCCACCAAUUGCCUUAGAGAUGUGGGGCCACCAGGCUUGAAGCUCAUCUGACUUCCAGAGGUUGAGGAGUGAGAAUUCCUUGCACCAGGGGCUGCCUCAGCAGUGAAGCCACGGGAAAUAAUCUUCACUCUGUCAGUGGGGCUGCUGGUGACCAGCAACAUCCACUUAAAAGCUGUCGAUCAGGGCCUCUGAGCAUUCCUGGCCUGGGAAUGGAGGGGAAGAAUCUGGCUAGCUCUAGGGUUACACAGCUGAGUCUGGCCUCAUUAACCAAAUUAGCUAACCAGCCGCUGUGCAAGCGACGUCUCAGAAGCCCCAAUGUUCAUGGAGGAAAUUAACUCAAAUUAUUAUUAUACACACCCCACAUAAUCAAUUGCAUUUAAGCAGGUGUCCAUAUACAAAGGAGGAGGGAAAUCACCACAGACUUAGCUUUUGUAUAGCCCUUUGUUCUUUAAAAGUAACUUUUUAAACAGUCUAUCACUGAUUCCUACCUCGUUUCUCUGACAUCAACAACACAGAUGUUACUAUCAGCAUUUAGUUAGAGACUAAGUGGCGUAUCCAAGAUCACACAGCAUAUUGAGGGAUCCAGGGCUCCUCUCUCUUAGUCCAUUUUUCUUUUUUGUUUGGUUUUCUCUUCUCUCAUAGGCUAUUUUGUACACAUCAGCCAGAGUCAUCUUUUAAACCUCAAAUGAGACCAUGUCACUCCUGGCUCACACUCUCUGUGGCUUCCCAAUAGAGAGAGCACAGUCCAGGUGGCUCACCUUCUUUAAGCUGCUUUCCUCCCCAUCUCUCACACCAGGCUGCCAUCAUGCUUCUCCCCCACUGACUCUCCACAGCCUGGCUCCUUCUCAAUCCAGGGCUUCCUUGUCCUCCAAAUCACUCUGUCCCACUGCCUGCUUUUUGCUCUCUGGAAUCAUCUCAUUUAUCUGUUUACGUGUUUGUUUCCUGCCUCCCAUCAGCAGAUCAUCAAUUCCAUGGCGUCAGGGACUUUGUUUUGUUGAUGCUGCAUCCCCAGUACCUAGAUUAGUACCUGGCACUUAGAGGGUAAUUAAUGAAGAGCUUUUUGAAUGAAUGGAUAUUGCACUGUAUUGAUAAAAGAAAGAGAGAAAAGUCCUGGGAGAGAGUGAAGGAAAAGAAGUUAUUAAUGAUGGGAAACAAUAUGCCCAAUAUGAGUGAAUAGCUGCUAUGAGAGAUUGCACAAGCUCUGCUGGGUCACCCCGUCCCCACUGAUCUAAGACUCCUGAGCCCUAGGCUCACUCCCCACCUCCAAUCUGACCAACAAGCCAAAGCCAGCAGUAACUCCAGAGCGGACUUUGACUCUAAAUGUGGCCUUAACCCUAGGCCUGACUGUGUAAACAACACCUUCUUCUAACUUUAAUCCUGUCCCUAAUAACCACCUUAACUUGGCACUCUAAUCUCAAUGACAAACCCAAAUCCAUAAGCACAGUCCCCUCUACUCGAUGGACCAAUUCUAGAUAUAAGAUCCAGCAGGUCAGACUGUCAUCCCAGUCCUGCCACACUGAACCUUAACUAGAUCUGCAUCAGUUUCCCUGAGUGGAAACUGAUGGGGGAGGUAUGGACUAAAAUUGGAGACACUGAAAGCUAGAAAAGACCUUAGAGAUCAUCUAAUUUCUUCCCUUUGGGGAUAAUAUACAAUGAAUACAUGCCAUCAUGUAUUUUCUAUGUGUCCCGUUGGUUCUUUCUUUCCUUUUUCUUGCCAUAUUUUGGAUCAAUCAAGUAUUAGUAUUCCAUUUUGCCUCCUCCAUUUGCAUUUUAGCUAAAUCUCUUUGUUUAACUUUUGUGUUUAUUUUAGGGGUUAUAAUAGGUAUCUUAAACUUUUCAUAGUCUACAUUGAAAUCACAUGAAAGAAUUUAAACCAGUGUCAUUCCCUUUUAUAACCCCCAUCUUUUGUUCUACUGUUAUCGUAUACCUAAGUACUGUGUAUGUCAUAAGCCCCACUAUUAUUGUUGUUGUUGUUAUUGCUUUAGAUAAUUAUGUCUUAAAGACAUUAAGAAUUGAAUAGAGUAUGUUUUUUAAAGUUACCGCUGUAUUUAAUAAUUUCUGAUGCUCUUCAUUCAUUUCUGUAGGUCAUGUUUCUGUUUUAUUUGCCUUCAACCUGCAGAACUUCGCAAUUCUCUUCCCCCUCCAGGGACACUGCAGCUUUUCUACCCUUCCAUUGCGGCUUCCAUACAGCCUCCAAAACCUGCAAGUUUCCAACCAUUUCCCACAGUGCAGUUAAAUCCCAAGAUAAAUUUUUAGGCAUUUCCAAACUCCCUAAGGACAGGCCCAGGUGGAGCCAUGAAAGAGAAGAGAGGGCAGGUAACCAGGAGCCUCUCCUCUUCCUCCUUCCUACGUCACCUUCCCUAUACUCCCCAAAGGGGACCUCUCUGACACUGCAAUGCAAGAUUAAACUACUGGAUGAUGAUGAUGAUGAUGAUGAUGAUUUACCUCCUUUCCUUCCUGGGCCAGGGAGGAGAGCAUCAAGCUCUUUGCAGCAGCAGUCUGAUCCCCUUCAGUUAUCCUCAGGUAUUUACUAAGCCCCCUCCUCAGUGCAGCCCCUCUACUAGGGGAAGAGAAAGGCAGAAGUGGA